GCCUGGGUGGCUCAGUCGGUUGAGCCACUGACUUGGGCUCAGGUCAUGAUCUCAUGGUUUGUGAGUUCAAGCCCCACAUCGGGCU
RNAcentral lists this transfer RNA (85 nucleotides) under Felis catus (domestic cat). It matches the Rfam family "tRNA". Rfam says of the family: Transfer RNA (tRNA) molecules are approximately 80 nucleotides in length. Lineage: Eukaryota; Metazoa; Chordata; Mammalia; Carnivora; Felidae. The record is from Rfam by way of RNAcentral.